CGGAUCAACCAUUGGUUGAACCAGUGAUGUCAGCAUGACAUUAUAAAUAUUUACUUUUUUAUAUUUUAUUACAUAGAAAAUAUAUAUUAUUAUUUUAGUAUCAUAUUAAAUUAAUUAUAAAAUAUUAAUUUUUAUACCAAGUUAAAUAGAUAUAAACUUUCAAAUAUCACUUUUAUAAGAGUAACAUGUUAAUAAAAAAAGAAACAGCUAAGUUGAUUUUAAACCGUUGGAUAUUAAUAUGACUUGAUAAAAACAAACAAUGUCGGUUUAAUUAAAACCGAACCGGUUCACCGACUCGAAUAGUACAAAACGAUUUUUUCGACUUAUUUGGUUAAAAGGAUUAAAACAAAUAACUUCAUAAAUUGUGUCAUGGUCGGACCGGUCGAGCCAGCCGAUUCAAUUGGGUUCUUAACUCAUUAGUUGUAUUAUCCUCAAUUGAAAUUUCACUUUCUUUUUCUACUUUUUU
Molecule: long non-coding RNA, 466 nt
Filed under: Ananas comosus (pineapple)
Lineage: Eukaryota; Viridiplantae; Streptophyta; Magnoliopsida; Poales; Bromeliaceae
Description: long non-coding RNA (ACOM_LNC015482)
Source: RNAcentral